This 1268-nucleotide ribosomal RNA is filed under the name metagenome. Its description in RNAcentral is "bacterial LSU rRNA". It matches the Rfam family "Bacterial large subunit ribosomal RNA", at positions 1671 to 2925 of the family's 2925-position model. The record is from RNAcentral.
UUAGAGAAUACCAAGGCGAUCGAGUGAAUCGUGGUUAAGGAAUUCGGCAAAAUACCCCCGUAACUUCGGGAGAAGGGGGGCCCAGAGGGUGACGGGACUUGCUCCCCGAGCCUGAACGGACGCAGAGACCAGGGAGAAGCGACUGUUUACUAAAAACACAGGUCCGUGCCAAGUCGCAAGACGAUGUAUACGGACUGACGCCUGCCCGGUGCUGGAACGUUAAGGGGACCGGUUAGCCUCACGGCGAAGCUGAGAACUUAAGCGCCAGUAAGCGGCGGUGGUAACUAUAACCAUCCUAAGGUAGCGAAAUUCCUUGUCGGGUAAGUUCCGACCUGCACGAAUGGCGUAACGACUUCUCCACUGUCUCAACCACGAACUCGGCGAAAUUGCACUACGAGUAAAGAUGCUCGUUACGCGCAGAAGGACGGAAAGACCCCGGGACCUUUACUACAGCUUGGUAUUGGUGUUCGGUACGGCUUGUGUAGGAUAGGUGGGAGACUGUGAAGCUGACACGCCAGUGUCGGUGGAGUCAACGUUGAAAUACCACUCUGGUCGUUCUGGAUAUCUAACCUAGGUCCGUAAUCCGGAUCAGGGACAGUGCCUGGUGGGUAGUUUAACUGGGGCGGUUGCCUCCUAAAAGGUAACGGAGGCGCCCAAAGGUUCCCUCAGCCUGGUUGGCAAUCAGGUUUCGAGUGUAAGUGCACAAGGGAGCUUGACUGUGAGACUGACAAGUCGAACAGGGACGAAAGUCGGGACUAGUGAUCCGGCGGUGGCUUGUGGAAGCGCCGUCGCUCAACGGAUAAAAGGUACCCCGGGGAUAACAGGCUGAUCUUGCCCAAGAGUCCAUAUCGACGGCAUGGUUUGGCACCUCGAUGUCGGCUCGUCGCAUCCUGGGGCUGGAGUAGGUCCCAAGGGUUGGGCUGUUCGCCCAUCAAAGCGGUACGCGAGCUGGGUUUAGAACGUCGUGAGACAGUUCGGUCCCUAUCCUCUGCGCGCGCAGGAAACUUGAGAAGGGCUGUCCCUAGUACGAGAGGACCGGGAUGGACGAACCUCUGGUGUGUCAGUUGUUCUGCCAAGAGCACCGCUGAUUAGCUACGUUCGGGAGUGAUAACCGCUGAAAGCAUCUAAGCGGGAAGCAUGCUUCAAGAUGAGGUUUCCAUGGGGUUUACCCCGAGAGGCUCCCAGCUAGACUACUGGGUUGAUAGGCCGGAUGUGGAAGUGCGGUAACGCAUGGAGCUGACCGGUACUAAUAAGCCGAUAACUUGACU